This 68-nucleotide transfer RNA is filed under the name Dipodomys ordii (Ord's kangaroo rat). It matches the Rfam family "tRNA". From Rfam's summary of the family: Transfer RNA (tRNA) molecules are approximately 80 nucleotides in length. The record is from Rfam by way of RNAcentral. Lineage: Eukaryota; Metazoa; Chordata; Mammalia; Rodentia; Heteromyidae.
AUGUGGCUCAGGGUCAGAGUGCUUGCCUCCCAUGCAUGAUUUUAUGGGUUCGAUUCCUUUACCACAUA